This 1229-nucleotide long non-coding RNA is filed under the name Scleropages formosus (Asian bonytongue). RNAcentral describes it as "lncRNA (ENSSFOG00015028639.1)". The record is from RNAcentral. Lineage: Eukaryota; Metazoa; Chordata; Actinopteri; Osteoglossiformes; Osteoglossidae.
ACCUGAUACUAGUCUAUCUAGGCAGAGGGCUGAGCUCGAAAGCACACGGCCUGGGUUUGGCCACCGGAGAUUCGGUGAGCAGCGGCAGCGCAGCUCUGUCACCGGGUCGACUACUUUGGUACAUUAUGAUUAGGAGGCGUGACGUGUUCGCCCUUCUGCUGAUUUGAAAGACGUCUUCCGGGCGCCGCUGGUUCACGCGAAGAUUCGCGUGUCAGCCGCGCGGACUACUUGUACUACUUCUGCAGAAAAGCCCCCCUGAGUGCGUUCAUGGCGCUCGAGGGCGGAGAACGGCUCGCGCUGACUCCUUUCCACACUCGUUCAAGCGCCACACCAAUGCUGGGGUACAUCUGACACCAACGCGCUUUUAUUUUCACUUUUUCGCUCCGGUUUUUUUUUCCUUCUUUCAUCUACACGAAUGUCAAAGGAACAAGUACGUGCACGGAGAGGUGGUGAAAAGCGAGAAGCAUGAGGCUGCUGCCCUGUUACUGGGUCUGUUUGUCCAAUAAACCCUUCGAGGCAAUGGAAACAUUGCUCUGACUGACAGCAGCCUGUGCCAUGCCAGAGGAACAAAGGACAGACUUGGUCAGCUACUGCCUGUCCAGCCUGCUUGCUUUGCUGGGUCUUCUUUUUAUUGUGAUGGGGCAAACAGAGGCAUCCCAGUGCAGCACGGAAAUUACUGAUGUGGUGGAAACAUACCUGGAAGUUCUGCGUGGCAUGAAGACCUUGGAAAGUACUUUGCUUUACACACCAAAUCUGAAAAGCUAUGAGAUUUGCCCCAGUUCCACCCUGGCAUGCUUUGCAAAGGAGGUAAAAGUGAUGCUCUUUGAGUUGGAUCAUAUACUAGCUUUACAUAAUUCACUUCUUCAUGGAAAUCUGGUCAGGAGACUGGAGUCUUUCAUCACAAAGAAGGAUGAGGAGCACUGCAUGCAGUGUGAGCUCCACAGGGAACUGCCAGUGAUGGACUUCCUGAUUUCACUACAACAGAUCCUCCAGGUGAUGAACAGCAGGUGUGUGCCGCUGCCAUCGUGGGCAGAAAAACGUGCCAACAUUCAGUCUGAAGUCAUACUUUUACCAGUAACACAAACAUUUAUGCUGGGAAACCACUUAAAGGCAACUGGGGAAAGAAAAUAUUUUAAGUGUGGGACAUACUGAAACCUGUCGUUUUUGCACUAAUUUGAUACAAAGGACUGAUUAGAGGUUUACUACAAUUUAUAAAAGGCACAACACAC